RNAcentral lists this ribosomal RNA (253 nucleotides) under uncultured bacterium. Its description in RNAcentral is "partial 16S ribosomal RNA". It matches the Rfam family "Bacterial small subunit ribosomal RNA", at positions 524 to 776 of the family's 1533-position model. The record is from RNAcentral.
UACGUAGGGACCGAGCGUUGUCCGGAAUCAUUGGGCGUAAAGAGCUCGUAGGCGGCUGUUCAAGUCGAACGUGAAAACUCGGAGCUCAACUCCGAGCCUGCGUUCGAUACUGGACGGCUAGAGUCUGGUAGGGGGAUCUGGAAUUCCUGGUGUAGCGGUGGAAUGCGCAGAUAUCAGGAGGAACACCGGUGGCGAAGGCGGGAUCCUGGGCCGAUACUGACGCUGAGGAGCGAAAGCGUGGGGAGCGAACAGG